RNAcentral lists this transfer RNA (84 nucleotides) under Microconidiobolus nodosus. RNAcentral's name for it is "Conidiobolus nodosus tRNA-Ser". It matches the Rfam family "tRNA". Rfam says of the family: Transfer RNA (tRNA) molecules are approximately 80 nucleotides in length. Their secondary structure includes four short double-helical elements and three loops (D, anti-codon, and T loops). Lineage: Eukaryota; Fungi; Entomophthoromycota; Entomophthoromycetes; Entomophthorales; Conidiobolaceae. The record is from RNAcentral.
GGAAAAAUAGCCUAAUGGUAAGGCAGGAGCUUGCUAAGCUUUGGAUUGUAAAGAUCCUUGAAGGUUCGAGUCCUUUUUUUUCCG